CUAGUUUGAAAUUCUCUAAAAGUUAGAAUUAUUUGAAAAACAGCGGACCAAUGCAAGUAAUCUUGUGUUCAAAUCACAUCAAUGUUAUCUCGCUCACGAAUGAAGAUGGCUUGAUUGACAGCCGCCGAUGCAGCUUUGGAUUGGCAACGUUAAAAAAAGGAGGCGGAGACGGAACGAAAAGCUUAAGAACGAAGAUGGAGCCAUAGCAUACCCAGACUAAGAUUUAUUCUUGGUCGAUGUAAAUACUAACUUAUGUGAGCUGUAGCAUAAGAAGUCCCUUAUAUUUUAUUGAAUGCUUGUUUAAAAAAUGAAUGAUUUGUGGUUCACAGUGGGUGGGGUGGUGUGGGGUGGGGAUGUACGGAGACCAAAAAGAUUAAUUAAAGUCCACCUUUUACACACGUUAGUAAUGUAACGUGGUUGGGAAUCUUGGGUUUUGUUUCUCCAUGUUUGUUUGUGUGUGUAAACAACCUGCAUAAGAACGGUGCGCGCAGGUCAGA
Ciona intestinalis (vase tunicate) is the source of this 497-nucleotide non-coding RNA. The record is from RefSeq and is a predicted model, not a curated record. NCBI's taxonomy places the organism in Eukaryota, Metazoa, Chordata, Ascidiacea, Phlebobranchia, Cionidae.